GCAGUGUUGUCGUCUCGUAGGCUUGAAAGACACUGGCCUUAGGAUGACAUGCGGCAGGAAGGAAGGACGGAUCUGGGGUUUUUCAAGACUCACUGAGAUGCACAAGGAACCAACCCUCAAGUAGCCAACUCGUUCCUGUUUGCAUGUGUCGACUGAAAAGAAUCAAAAUAAACAAAAUAUAACUAUUUCUAAGAGGUUACAACUUGCAGGCAGGAAGCAGGCCUCUACCUGAGGCCAUAAAGCAUACUUUGAAGGAGAAAAGGUAGGUAUUUAUGCUAGGUGGAGAGGUAGGAUAUACGUAUUCUGUAGCAUACAGGAGAAGCCUAUGAAAAUUCAUGGAGGAAACUCGUUAGAGACACGCACUGGGCUUACAUAUGAAGAAUAUCCAAAAGCGGAUGACCUGUGUUCACUCUGGGGUGAAGAUUUAACAUUUAAAUGUAUUAUAAUUAGGCUGUAAAUGCAAAAAGGUGAAACAUAGGGCACAAGUUCACGAUCUGUGCAAUCUCCAGAGACCAGUCUGAUCUAGCCUGCAGCUGGCAGUCAUCUGUCAAGAAGGGGCUCUUUGUAGCCCAGAGUAGCUGUCAGGUUGGAACCAUAAAACCAAAAGGAGGGCAUCGGCGGUUAGGUGAAGAAAAGAAGUCUUUUGGCCUUUUUUCCUCUUCAAGUCAGCUUUUGAUAAGAUCUAGUAAUAAUAAGGGGAUGGGUGUGGCUGCAGGUGGGACAUGUCGGUUCUCUGUCCUGUCACAGCUAAGAACUAAGAACUUUAGAGUCUUUCAGCCAUAGAGGGUCCUGUCAUCCAUUGAAGGGAUCAGUCCAUUGGGAUUUUGCCAGUUUUAGCAUUGAUGCUGUGUCCUGGGAAACCCCUGAAUACUUAUCAUAGCAGAAGUUCAGCCACUGUAGCCCUACCUCAGGACCGCUUUUAUGGGAAAGAAUAAUUCCUUUAACUGCUUGAGCCAUUUGAGUUGUGGCUGCUUUUGGUACUUGUAAUAAAUUGAAAGCAUCUUGAAUGUUCUGGGACAGUAAAAGAAUGUGCCUUUGUUUCUGACAGCAAUUAUAAAAUCAAUUAUAUGUUUAUAUUCUAAAAAAUGUUUUGAGUAAUGCUGACAUCAUUGGAAAAGUGCAUCACUUAGAAAAUGUAUCUGUGUGUCAAUUUUGUUUGUUCAAAAUCAGUUUCAUUAAUUUGUGGGAAGAUACACCUUGUACAUUUUACCUAAUUAAAAAAAAUAUUGCCAGUUGAGUAUACUUGUGAUAUAUUCAAAGAUAAAUAAACUUUUUCAAUUUUAGAUAUU
This 1289-nucleotide long non-coding RNA is filed under the name Homo sapiens (human). RNAcentral's name for it is "non-protein coding lnc-SCP2D1-1:5". Lineage: Eukaryota; Metazoa; Chordata; Mammalia; Primates; Hominidae. The record is from RNAcentral.